CAGUUCGGUCCCUAUCCGUCGCAGGCGUAGGAAAUUUGAGAAGACCUGUCCUUAGUACGAGAGGACCGGGAUGGACGUACCUCUGGUGUACCAGUUGUUCUGCCAAGGGCAUGGCUGGGUAGCUAUGUACGGAAUGGAUAAGCGCUGAAAGCAUCUAAGCGCGAAGCCAACUUCAAGAUAAGAUUUCCCACCGCAAGGGUAAGACCCCAGAAAGACUAUCUGGUUGAUAGGUCGAAGGUGUAAGUGCAGCAAUGUAUUUAGCUUAUCGAUACUAAUAGGUCGAGGACUUGACCAAU
RNAcentral lists this ribosomal RNA (296 nucleotides) under Clostridioides difficile. RNAcentral describes it as "partial 23S ribosomal RNA". It matches the Rfam family "Bacterial large subunit ribosomal RNA", at positions 2627 to 2925 of the family's 2925-position model. Lineage: Bacteria; Bacillati; Bacillota; Clostridia; Peptostreptococcales; Peptostreptococcaceae. The record is from RNAcentral.